GUUUUUGUAAGUGAACAACAUAUAAUCAAAUCAGAAUCUCUUAAGAAUUUAUACAAAAUGCAUUUUUAGUACAACUCCUUACCGAAGUGGCUAUUACAUUCCAGAAAAGUUGCUUUACAAUCGCGCCAGCACUGCCCCUCUACGCAGAAACGUUUGCAAACCGACAGCUUACUGCGAAUGCCUUGGUCUACUUUCUCCCAGCUGUUCUGCACAUCUGGCCACAGCUGGUUUAUUUCAGAAUGGACCUGUGUAGGGGAGGAUCUGCAGCCUCCUCUCUCUCUUCUAUUGGCUCAUCCUUAUGGGACUCUCUGGGCUUGCUGGCAUUUCAUUGGCCUGGCUUGCCCCCUUCCCCGUGAGCUAAUUGGAGGAGCGGGAUGGAGGGGACGGAAUCCCCUUUGGUUUAUUGGGAAGGGGGAGCGGAGUUAUGCCCGGUCACCUGCGGCUCGGGCAGCUGUGGUGCCUCCGGCGCCUCACCCCCACCUCUCGCUGCUGCUGGGGGGAGCCGGAGCUCGAGCUGGAGCUGCCGGGCCCGCCGCUGUCAGGGGAAAUGGCCAAAGACAAGCGACACACACAAAGAACAUGGCGAGGGAAGGAGGAGUCUGAGCCGACGGCAGCUGCGCUCCCCCGCCCGAAGGACGCUCCGGGGAGGGAGGACAAUGCCCAGCCCACUCUGGCCCAGCUGCCGCCCGGCUCCCGGGGGAGGGGGCUGUUUUCCCAGGGCUGGGCGCCCCUGGUGUUUCCGCCUGCCCCACGCUGUAACAAACUACGCGCAAGUGCUACUGAACAGGACGCAGCUGGAGUGAGAUCUGCAGCGACUGUUCCUCCAGAAGUACUGAAGAUAGGAUCCAACUGCCGAGUGUGCAACUUCAGGAAUAAUCUUUUUCCCCACUCCAAACUACUAGCCACAGCAACUUGCUAUUUCACAUUACCAUAUGAAAAUCGCAUCCACUUCAUUGUGGAUACUUCUGUCACAGAUCAUAGAUGCAGAGAAUCUUCUCCUAAUGGCCAAGCAGUGUGGUGUUCCCUGGUUGAGUGUGCAUCUUACAUAAAUUAUAAAGGAAGCUGAAAUAGGAAGAAUUGGGCCCAACAAAAACUGAAGACAGGUGGAGACUGCUGUGGCCAGUUCCUUUCACUGGCAGCAGAGCUCUCAGAGGAGGACAAAGCCUUUUUUGGCAGCAGAAGUACUUGGUGAAAGUUAUGAAAACAUCAGGCUCCUGACUACCUAAUCAAACAUGUAAGUAUGUGCUAUCUAUGAACUGGCACUGCACUUCAACCUGACCUGAAUUCUGACUAUUCUUAGCUGUCUCUGUCUCCCUCGUCUUACUGCGUAUACUCAGUCUGCAGGUGGGAGUGGGGGUGGCUGGGUGACUGUUCUUGUGGGCAUACUUUGAAAUGCUAAAAUGGAACUUUGACGUUAAAAGUUGUGUACAGUACCUACAGCCUUAGUUCAGUACUGCUUCCUCUCUCUCGGUUUAUUAUUCUAAUCCUAGAUAUUGUAUUUUCAUUAUUGUUAGCUUACUCCUAAAAGGUUCCCUCAUGUAGAAUUACUGGAUGUAGUUACUUACAAAUACCAAUACAAAGCUUAUAAAAUGAAAGUGAUGUUUAUUUUAUUUGCCUUGGGCAGUUUCUUGGCCUACUUGCUCAACCUGUGAGUGGAUCUUUCCCACCAGCUUUUUCCAGACUCUGCUCACUCUCCAUGUAAUUGUCCCUUUUUACCUUUACUGUUUUUCAGUUGACUAGAAUAUCUGAAAACACCUGUUGCUAAUCUAAAGCAAUAACUGGUGUUUCUGGUCAGUAGCGUAGCUAGGCGAGAAGCAGGGGGAGCAGUCACUCCCCAUGAGGACAUUCUCCAAAAGUGGCACCUUAGGUGCCGACUCCCUGGGUGCUCUGGGGCUGGAUCACCCACAGGGAAAAUUUUGUGAGUGCUCAGCUCUCCACCCUGUCCUGCCCCGGCCCCAGCUCACCUUCCCUCCACCGCCCUCCCCCGACUUCCCACGAAUCAGCUGUUCGUGUGGGAAGCCUGGGAGGGCGGAGAAGCGGUGCAGAGGCUUCGUGGUCAGGCCCAGGGAGAAGGCACACUAGGGUGGGGA
Long non-coding RNA from Gopherus agassizii (Agassiz's desert tortoise), 2090 nucleotides. The record is from Ensembl. NCBI's taxonomy places the organism in Eukaryota, Metazoa, Chordata, Testudines, Testudinidae.